GUUUGAUCCUGGCUCAGAUUGAACGCUGGCGGCAGGCCUAACACAUGCAAGUCGAACGGUAACAGGAAGAAGCUUGCUUCUUUGCUGACGAGUGGCGGACGGGUGAGUAAUGUCUGGGAAACUGCCUGAUGGAGGGGGAUAACUACUGGAAACGGUAGCUAAUACCGCAUAACGUCGCAAGACCAAAGAGGGGGACUUUCGGGCCUCUUGCCAUCGGAUGUGCCCAGAUGGGAUUAGCUAGUAGGUGGGGUAACGGCUCACCUAGGCAACGAUCCCUAGCUGGUCUGAGAGGAUGACCAGCCACACUGGAACUGAGACACGGUCCAGACUCCUACGGGAGGCAGCAGUGGGGAAUAUUGCACAAUGGGCGCAAGCCUGAUGCAGCCAUGCCGCGUGUAUGAAGAAGGCCUUCGGGUUGUAAAGUACUUUCAGCGGGGAGGAAGGGAGUAAAGUUAAUACCUUUGCUCAUUGACGUUACCCGCAGAAGAAGCACCGGCUAACUCCGUGCCAGCAGCCGCGGUAAUACGGAGGGUGCAAGCGUUAAUCGGAAUUACUGGGCGUAAAGCGCACGCAGGCGGUU
RNAcentral lists this ribosomal RNA (580 nucleotides) under uncultured Escherichia sp. RNAcentral's name for it is "bacterial SSU rRNA". It matches the Rfam family "Bacterial small subunit ribosomal RNA", at positions 11 to 580 of the family's 1533-position model. The record is from RNAcentral. Lineage: Bacteria; Pseudomonadati; Pseudomonadota; Gammaproteobacteria; Enterobacterales; Enterobacteriaceae.